AACGCUAGCUACAGGCUUAACACAUGCAAGUCGAGGGGAAACGACAUCGAAAGCUUGCUUUUGGUGGGCGUCGACCGGCGCACGGGUGAGUAACGCGUAUCCAACCUGCCCACCACUUGGGGAUAACCUUGCGAAAGUAAGACUAAUACCCAAUGAUAUCCCACGAAGGCAUCGGAAUGGGAUUAAAGAUUUAUCGGUGAUGGAUGGGGAUGCGUCUGAUUAGCUUGUUGGCGGGGUAACGGCCCACCAAGGCAACGAUCAGUAGGGGUUCUGAGAGGAAGGUCCCCCACAUUGGAACUGAGACACGGUCCAAACUCCUACGGGAGGCAGCAGUGAGGAAUAUUGGUCAAUGGGCGAGAGCCUGAACCAGCCAAGUAGCGUGCAGGACGACGGCCCUAUGGGUUGUAAACUGCUUUUAUAAGGGAAUAAAGUGAGUCUCGUGAGACUUUUUGCAUGUACCUUAUGAAUAAGGACCGGCUAAUUCCGUGCCAGCAGCCGCGGUAAUACGGAAGGUCCGGGCGUUAUCCGGAUUUAUUGGGUUUAAAGGGAGCGUAGGCCGGAGAUUAAGCGUGUUGUGAAAUGUAGUGGCUCAACCUCUGCACUGCAGCGCGAACUGGUCUUCUUGAGUACGCACAACGUGGGCGGAAUUCGUGGUGUAGCGGUGAAAUGCUUAGAUAUCACGAAGAACUCCGAUUG
Molecule: ribosomal RNA, 696 nt
Filed under: uncultured bacterium
Lineage: Bacteria
Description: bacterial SSU rRNA
Rfam family: Bacterial small subunit ribosomal RNA
Source: RNAcentral